RNAcentral lists this microRNA (21 nucleotides) under Spodoptera frugiperda (fall armyworm). RNAcentral's name for it is "sfr-miR-10496-5p". The record is from miRBase by way of RNAcentral. Lineage: Eukaryota; Metazoa; Arthropoda; Insecta; Lepidoptera; Noctuidae.
CGGCUUAUUCUUGGUCUUCGA